UCAUCAUGAGGGCGAUGAGUUAGAGUGAAAUUAUUCUGAUCUAUUGAAAAGAGUUUCAACGAUAUAAUGAUAGGAUCAUUGUAUAUCUGACUACUAAAUAGAAUUGAACCUAUGGGGUCACACAACAAAGAGAUUAGGUAUGAAAUAAUAAAUUGAGCUUAUGAAGUGUCAAUUGGGUUUAGAAAAAUCUAUUGAAUUCAUGGUAACCUUGCUAGC
RNAcentral lists this long non-coding RNA (216 nucleotides) under Elaeis guineensis (African oil palm). Its description in RNAcentral is "long non-coding RNA (EGUI_LNC000594)". The record is from RNAcentral. Lineage: Eukaryota; Viridiplantae; Streptophyta; Magnoliopsida; Arecales; Arecaceae.